AAAGUUAAAGCAAUUUGUGUCUCGUUUACGUUGAGAAGGUCCUUUAGGGUAAUUUUA
Molecule: transfer RNA, 57 nt
Filed under: Bactrurus brachycaudus
Lineage: Eukaryota; Metazoa; Arthropoda; Malacostraca; Amphipoda; Crangonyctidae
Description: tRNA-Val
Source: RNAcentral